This 73-nucleotide transfer RNA is filed under the name Nelumbo nucifera (sacred lotus). It matches the Rfam family "tRNA". Rfam says of the family: Transfer RNA (tRNA) molecules are approximately 80 nucleotides in length. Lineage: Eukaryota; Viridiplantae; Streptophyta; Magnoliopsida; Proteales; Nelumbonaceae. The record is from Rfam by way of RNAcentral.
GGGGAUGUAGCUCAAAUGGUAGAGCAUUCGCUUAGCAUGUGAGAGGUACGGGGAUUGAUACCCCGCAUUGAUA